Molecule: ribosomal RNA, 253 nt
Filed under: uncultured bacterium
Lineage: Bacteria
Description: partial 16S ribosomal RNA
Rfam family: Bacterial small subunit ribosomal RNA
Source: RNAcentral
UACGGAGGGGGCGAGCGUUAAUCGGAAUUACUGGGCGUAAAGCGUGCGCAGGCGGCUUUGCAAGACAGAUGUGAAAUCCCCGGGCUCAACCUGGGAACUGCAUUUGUGACUGCAAGGCUAGAGUACGGCAGAGGGGGAUGGAAUUCCGCGUGUAGCAGUGAAAUGCGUAGAUAUGCGGAGGAACACCAAUGGCGAAGGCAAUCCCCUGGGCCUGUACUGACGCUCAUGCACGAAAGCGUGGGGAGCAAACAGG